CCCUUAGAGUUUGAUCCUGGCUCAGGACGAACGCUGGCGGCGUGCUUAACACAUGCAAGUCGAACGAAGAGCGAUGGAAGCUUGCUUCUAUCAAUCUUAGUGGCGAACGGGUGAGUAACGCGUAAUCAACCUGCCCUUCAGAGGGGGACAACAGUUGGAAACGACUGCUAAUACCGCAUACGAUCUAAUCUCGGCAUCGAGGAUGGAUGAAAGGUGGCCUCUAUUUAUAAGCUAUCACUGAAGGAGGGGAUUGCGUCUGAUUAGCUAGUUGGAGGGGUAACGGCCCACCAAGGCGAUGAUCAGUAGCCGGUCUGAGAGGAUGAACGGCCACAUUGGGACUGAGACACGGCCCAGACUCCUACGGGAGGCAGCAGUGGGGAAUCUUCCGCAAUGGACGAAAGUCUGACGGAGCAACGCCGCGUGAGUGAUGACGGCCUUCGGGUUGUAAAGCUCUGUUAAUCGGGACGAAAGGCCUUCUUGCGAAUAGUUAGAAGGAUGA
Molecule: ribosomal RNA, 499 nt
Filed under: uncultured bacterium
Lineage: Bacteria
Description: bacterial SSU rRNA
Rfam family: Bacterial small subunit ribosomal RNA
Source: RNAcentral